AUAGCCACGGCUAAUUCUGUGCCAGCAGCCGCGGUAAUACGGGAGUGGCAAGCGUUAUCCGGAAUUAUUGGGCGUAAAGCGUCGCAGGCGGCCUUUCAAGUCUGCUGUUAAAACGUGGAGCUUAACUCCAUCAUGGCAGUGGAAACUGAAAGGCUUGAGUAUGGUAGGGGCAGAGGGAAUUCCCGGUGUAGCGGUGAAAUGCGUAGAUAUCGGGAAGAACACCAGUGGCGAAGGCGCUCUGCUGGGCCAUUACUGACGCUCAUGGACGAAAGCCAGGGGAGCGAAAGGGAUUAGAUACCCCUGUAGUCCUGGCCGUAAACGAUGAACACUAGGUGUCGGGGGAAUCGACCCCUUCGGUGUCGUAGCUAACGCGUUAAGUGUUCCGCCUGGGGAGUACGCACGCAAGUGUGAAACUCAAAGGAAUUGACGGGGGCCCGCACAAGCGGUGGAGUAUGUGGUUUAAUUCGAUGCAACGCGAAGAACCUUACCAGGGUUUGACAUCCUGCGAACCUCUUAGAAAUUUGAGGGUGCCUUCGGGAAUGCAGUGACAGGUGGUGCAUGGCUGUCGUCAGCUCGUGUCGUGAGAUGUUGGGUUAAAUCCCGCAACGAGCGCAACCCACGUUUUUAGUUGCCAGCAUUUAGUUGGGCACUCUAGAAAGACCGCCGGUGAUAAACCGGAGGAAGGUGUGGAUGACGUCAAGUCAUCAUGCCCCUUACACCCUGGGCUACACACGUACUACAAUGCUACGGACAAAGGGCAGCAAACUCGCGAGAGCUAGCAAAUCCCAUAAACCGUGGCUCAGUUCAGAUCGUAGGCUGCAACUCGCCUACGUGAAGUAGGAAUCGCUAGUAAUCGCAGGUCAGCAUACUGCGGUGAAUACGUUCCCGGGCCUUGUACACACCGCCCGUCACACCAUGGAAGUUGGCCAUGCCCGAAGUCGUUACUCCAACCCUUGUGGAGG
This 962-nucleotide ribosomal RNA is filed under the name uncultured bacterium. Its description in RNAcentral is "bacterial SSU rRNA". It matches the Rfam family "Bacterial small subunit ribosomal RNA", at positions 487 to 1449 of the family's 1533-position model. The record is from RNAcentral.